Molecule: ribosomal RNA, 253 nt
Filed under: uncultured bacterium
Lineage: Bacteria
Description: partial 16S ribosomal RNA
Rfam family: Bacterial small subunit ribosomal RNA
Source: RNAcentral
UACGUAGGGUGCAAGCGUUGUCCGGAUUUAUUGGGCGUAAAGAGCGUGUAGGCGGCCAUACAGGUCCGUUGUGAAAACUGGAGGCUUAACCUCCAGACGUCGAUGGAAACCGUAUGGCUAGAGUCCGGAAGAGGAGAGUGGAAUUCCUGGUGUAGCGGUGAAAUGCGCAGAUAUCAGGAAGAACACCCGUGGCGAAGGCGGCUCUCUGGGACGGUACUGACGCUGAGGUGCGAAAGCGUGGGGAGCAAACAGG